This 175-nucleotide non-coding RNA is filed under the name Chloroflexota bacterium. Its description in RNAcentral is "Chloroflexi bacterium (anaerobic digester metagenome) 6S RNA". It matches the Rfam family "6S / SsrS RNA". From Rfam's summary of the family: E. coli 6S RNA was the first non coding RNA to be sequenced, but its function was unknown until recently. Lineage: Bacteria; Bacillati; Chloroflexota. The record is from RNAcentral.
UGUAACCUGCUGUGCGCGUGAUCCGCACAAGGUUUUGAGCCAACACCCUAACGAAGGGGAUCGGAUUCCCGGGCAAACGCAUUAGGACUCGUUCUAAAGCGGGAAGUGCGGGCUAGAUCACCCACCUGCGAAAGCAGGUUCAAAACGUCGCGGCACACGGCACGGCGGGAGACAU